CGAAAGCCUGACGGAGCAAUACCGCGUGAGGGAGGAAGGCUCUUGGGUUGUAAACCUCUUUUCUCAGGGAAGAACAAAAUGACGGUACCUGAGGAAUAAGCAUCGGCUAACUCCGUGCCAGCAGCCGCGGUAAUACGGAGGAUGCAAGCGUUAUCCGGAAUGAUUGGGCGUAAAGCGUCCGCAGGUGGCAACUCAAGUCUGCUGUUAAAGGUCGGGGCUCAACCCCGAACGAGCAGGGGAAACUGGGUAGCUAGAGUGCGAUAGGGGUAGAGGGAAUUCCCAGUGUAGCGGUGAAAUGCGUAGAGAUUGGGAAGAACACCGGUGGCGAAAGCGCUCUACUAGGUCGUAACUGACACUCAUGGACGAAAGC
This 370-nucleotide ribosomal RNA is filed under the name uncultured cyanobacterium. RNAcentral's name for it is "bacterial SSU rRNA". It matches the Rfam family "Bacterial small subunit ribosomal RNA", at positions 376 to 760 of the family's 1533-position model. Lineage: Bacteria; Bacillati; Cyanobacteriota. The record is from RNAcentral.